UGCUUGGGAACUUGCCUUUGCGAGGGGGAUAACAGUUGGAAACGACUGCUAAUACCGCAUAAUGUCUUCGGACCAAACGGGGCUUCGGCUCCGGCGCAAAGAGAGGCCCAAGUGAGAUUAGCUAGUUGGUAAGGUAACGGCUUACCAAGGCGACGAUCUCUAGCUGUUCUGAGAGGAAGAUCAGCCACACUGGGACUGAGACACGGCCCAGACUCCUACGGGAGGCAGCAGUGGGGAAUAUUGCACAAUGGGGGAAACCCUGAUGCAGCCAUGCCGCGUGUGUGAAGAAGGCCUUCGGGUUGUAAAGCACUUUCAGUUGUGAGGAAAAGUUAGUAGUUAAUACCUGCUAGCCGUGACGUUAACAACAGAAGAAGCACCGGCAACUCCGUGCCAGCAGCCGCGGUAAUACGGAGGGUGCGAGCGUUAAUCGGAAUUACUGGGCGUAAAGCGCACGCAGGCGGUUUGUUAAGCUAGAUGUGAAAGCCCCGGGCUCAACCUGGGAUGGUCAUUUAGAACUGGCAGACUAGAGUCUUGGAGAGGGGAGUGGAAUUCCAGGUGUAGCGGUGAAAUGCGUAGAUAUCUGGAGGAACAUCAGUGGCGAAGGCGACUCCCUGGCCAAAGACUGACGCUCAUGUGCGAAAGUGUGGGUAGCGAACAGGAUUAGAUACCCUGGUAGUCCACACCGUAAACGCUGUCUACUAGCUGUGUGUGUCUUUAAGGCGUGCGUAGCGAAGCUAACGCGCUAAGUAGACCGCCUGGGGGAGUACGGCCGCAAGGUUAAAACUCAAAUGAAUUUGACGGGGGGCCCGCACAAGCGGUGGAGCAUGGUGGGUUUAAUUCGAUGC
This 845-nucleotide ribosomal RNA is filed under the name Alteromonas macleodii. RNAcentral describes it as "bacterial SSU rRNA". It matches the Rfam family "Bacterial small subunit ribosomal RNA", at positions 114 to 957 of the family's 1533-position model. Lineage: Bacteria; Pseudomonadati; Pseudomonadota; Gammaproteobacteria; Alteromonadales; Alteromonadaceae. The record is from RNAcentral.